Small nucleolar RNA from Nannospalax galili (Upper Galilee mountains blind mole rat), 211 nucleotides. Its record names the gene U3. It matches the Rfam family "Small nucleolar RNA U3". Rfam says of the family: Small nucleolar RNAs (snoRNAs) are involved in the processing and modification of rRNA in the nucleolus. There are two main classes of snoRNAs: the box C/D class, and the box H/ACA class. NCBI's taxonomy places the organism in Eukaryota, Metazoa, Chordata, Mammalia, Rodentia, Spalacidae. The record is from Ensembl.
AAGACUAUACUUUCAGGGAUCGUUUCUAUAAUUUGUUACUAGAGAAGUUUCUCGGACUGUGUAGAAUACCAGAAACCAUGAGGAGGAGAUGUAGCAUUCUCUCCUGAGCGUGAAGCCGGCUCUUGGUGUUGCUUCGAUGCAACCACCUUUUGCCAUUGAUGAUCCUUCUUCUCUCUUUCUACUCAGAGGGAGAGGAUGCAGUCUGACUGUU